CAGUAGCCGCGGGAAUACGUAGGUGGCAAGCGUUGUCCGGAAUUAUUGGGCGUAAAGCGCGCGCAGGUGGUUUAAUAAGUCUGAUGUGAAAGCCCACGGCUCAACCGUGGAGGGUCAUUGGAAACUGUUAAACUUGAGUGCAGGAGAGAAAAGUGGAAUUCCUAGUGUAGCGGUGAAAUGCGUAGAUAUUAGGAAGAACACCAGUGGCGAAGGCGGCUUUUUGGCCUGUAACUGACACUGAGGCGCGAAAGCGUGGGGAGCAAACAGGAUUAGAUACCCCGGUAGUCCCUGUCUCUUAUAA
RNAcentral lists this ribosomal RNA (301 nucleotides) under uncultured bacterium. Its description in RNAcentral is "partial 16S ribosomal RNA". It matches the Rfam family "Bacterial small subunit ribosomal RNA", at positions 509 to 809 of the family's 1533-position model. The record is from RNAcentral.